This 497-nucleotide ribosomal RNA is filed under the name uncultured bacterium. RNAcentral's name for it is "partial 16S ribosomal RNA". It matches the Rfam family "Bacterial small subunit ribosomal RNA", at positions 28 to 507 of the family's 1533-position model. The record is from RNAcentral.
GACGAACGCUGGCGGCGUGCCUAAUACAUGCAAGUUGAGCGCUGACGGUUGGUACUUGUGCCAACUGGGUGAGCAGCGAACGGGUGAGUAACGCGUGGGGCAUCUGCCUUUGAGCGGGGGACAACAACUGGAAACGAAUGCUAAUACUGCAUAAUAACUCUAAACACAAGUUUCAAGUUUGAAAGAUGCCAUUGCAUCAUUAAAAGAUGAUCCCGCGAUGUAUUAGCUAGUUGGUUAGGUAAAGGCUCACCCAGGCGAUGAUACCUCGCCUACCUGGGAGGGUGGACGACCAAAAUGGGAAUGGGACAAGGCCCAAGCUCCCACGGGAGGGAGCAGUAGGGAAUCUUUGGCAAUGGACGAAAGUCUGACCGAGCAACGCCGGGGGAGUGAAGAAGGUUGUCGGAUCGUAAAACUCUGUUGGUAGGGAAGAACGUUGAGGAGAGUGGAAAGCUCAUCAAGUGACGGUAACUACCCAGAAAGGGACGGCUAACUACGUG